RNAcentral lists this ribosomal RNA (433 nucleotides) under uncultured bacterium. RNAcentral describes it as "partial 16S ribosomal RNA". It matches the Rfam family "Bacterial small subunit ribosomal RNA", at positions 29 to 507 of the family's 1533-position model. The record is from RNAcentral.
AACGAACGCUGGCGGCAUGCCUAACACAUGCAAGUCGAACGAGACCUUCGGGUCUAGUGGCGCACGGGUGCGUAACCCGUGGGAACCUGCCCUUAGGUUCGGAAUAACUCCCCGAAAGGGGUGCUAAUACCGGAUAAUGUCUUCGGCCCAAAGAUUUAUCGCCGUUGGAUGGUCCCGCGUUGGAUUAGCUAGUUGGUAGGGUAAAAGCUGACCAAGGCGACGAUCCAUAGCUGGUCUGAGAGGAUGCUCAGCCACUCUGGGACUGAGACACGGCCCAGACUCCUACGGGAGGCAGCAGUGGGGAAUAGUGGACAAUGGGCGAAAGCCUGAUCCAGCAAGGCCGCGUGAGUGAUGAAGGCCUUAGGGUUGUAAAGCUCUUUUACCCGGGAUGAUAAUGACAGUACCGGGAGAAUAAGCUCCGGCUAACUCCGUG